Molecule: long non-coding RNA, 931 nt
Organism: Pistacia vera
Lineage: Eukaryota; Viridiplantae; Streptophyta; Magnoliopsida; Sapindales; Anacardiaceae
Exons: 2
Source: RefSeq, a predicted model, not a curated record
UGCUUCCCUUGAUCAAUUUCUUCUGCAGUAAUCGGAUCUGCCUCUGUUUUUUAAGUGAUGAUACUAGUUUGGGAUGCCUUUUAGAUGAGACUGAAAAAGAUAGUAAACAAAUAAUAAUAUGUGAUGUGUAAGAGUAUUUGGUUUGUAUGCUUUUUGGUUGAAAAUGCUCCAUCUACAUUCUUUCUUUUUUGAGUUUUUCCAAAACUCUUUUUUUCCUUUUGCCUCACUUGGCGAACAUCUUUUUAGCCACGUGAAUCUCCCAUAUUUAGAGGUGUCAGGUUGACCUUGUUGGAGGUAGUGAUUAGGUUGGGGUCUAUCUGUUGCUCAAUCGCCUAAAAGAAGAAAAAAAAAAUGUUUGUGGUUUCCAGAUUUAACAUGAUAAUUGUUUAAACUUCUAGCAUUAGCUUUUGUGUCUCUUUGGUUCUUAUAUUGCAGUUCACCCCUUCACAUGCAGGGGCUAUCUUUUCUCCUAGCCAUGGUACUCAAAGUGCUCAGACCAGAUCGAUAUUAUGAUAGUGAUGAUGAAUAUGCUCCUGAUAGGGUUCCACUCCUGAGGAAUUUUGUUCACCCACCGACCUAUGUGGUUGGAGACCCUGUUUAUGGAUCCAAAACUGAUGCUUGGACUAUCAGGAUUAAUGAGAAGGCAAACAGGUGACAAGGGUUUGACCUCAAACUCGGAUGAUGGAUAGGAAAUGGAAGUGUUACUAUCUAAUUCCUAUCGGCCCAGAGCAGGAUGAAAUUCAAUAUAAAGGUUUAAGGAGGAUAAGCUUCUGACCAACUUUGAGUUGGUGGAAUUGUAUUUCCUUGUAUAGACACUGCCCCAAUCACAGUUUUGGGUUUUGAAUGAUCGAAAUAUUAUAUGUUAUCUGAAAAACCGUAUUUUUUGAAUAUGAAUAAUAAAAGGUUUGAGAAAAAUUUUAAAUGUCUUCAA